ACAACCAGGAUGUUGGCUUAGAAGCAGCCACUCAUUAAAAGAGUGCGUAAUAGCUCACUGGUCGAGUGACUCUGCGCCGAAAAUUUAACGGGGCUAAACUAUACACCGAAGCUUGGGAUACAUCUAAUGUAUGGUAGGAGAGCGUUCUGUAAGGGGUGAAGUCGUAGCGAAAGCGGCGGUGGACUUUACAGAAGUGAGAAUGCCGGAAUAAGUAGCGAGAAUUAAGUGAGAAUCUUAAUGGCCGAAAGUCUAAGGUUUUUGGAGGAAGGUUCGUCCGCUCCAAGUAAGUCGGGAGCUAAGGUCAGGCCGAAAGGCGUAGCCGAUGCACAUACGGUUGAUAUUCCGUAACCAUCUGUAAUUUAAGCAAAGGGACACUUCAAAAGGGUGUGACCCGGGCGUUGGUUGACCCGGGCGUAAGGGACCGAAAUUAGAGUAGGGAAGCACACUUGGCUGAAGGCGAGAAAAGCUUUGCGUAUAGAAGCAGAUGCCCGUACCGCAAACCGACACAGGUGGACAGGAAGAGAAUUCUAAGGCCAGCGGGAGAAGGGUAGUUAAGGAACUCGGCAAAUUGACUCCGUAACUUCGGAAUAAGGAGUGCUCGAAAGAGCCGCAGAGAAUAGGCCCAGGCGACUGUUUAGCAAAAACACAGGUCUCUGCCAAAUCGAAAGAUGAAGUAUAGGGGCUGACACCUGCCCGGUGCCGGAAGGUUAAGAGGAGGAGUGAGAGCUCCGAAUUGAAGCCCCGGUAAACGGCGGCCGUAACUAUAACGGUCCUAAGGUAGCGAAAUUCCUUGUCGGGUAAGUUCCGACCCGCACGAAUGGUGUAACGAUCUGGGCACUGUCUCAACUACCCACCCGGCGAAAUUGUAGUACCGGUGAAGAUGCCGGUUACCUGCGGCAAGACGGAAAGACCCCAUGGAGCUUUACUGUAGCCUGAUAUUGGGUUUCGGAAAUCUAUGUACAGGAUAGGCGGGAGACUAGGAAACAUGAGCGUCAGCUUGUGUGGAGUCGAUGUUGGGAUACCGCCCUUAGGUUUCUGGAAUUCUAACCUGCGGCCGUGAAUCCGGUCGGGGGACAUUGUCAGGUGGGCAGUUUGACUGGGGCGGUCGCCUCCGAAAAGGUAACGGAGGCGCUCAAAGGUUAGCUCAGCACGGACGGAAACCGUGCCUCUGAGUGUAAACGCAAAAGCUAGCCUAACUGCGAGGGUGACGGCCCGAGCAGUAACGAAAGUUGGAGUUAGUGAUCCGGCGGUAUGUGAAUGGAAAUGCCGUCGCUCAACGGAUAAAAGCUACCCUGGGGAUAACAGGCUGAUCUCCCCCAAGAGUCCACAUCGACGGGGAGGUUUGGCACCUCGAUGUCGGCUCAUCACAUCCUGGGGCUGUAUUCGGUCCCAAGGGUUCGGCUGUUCGCCGAUUAAAGUGGUACGCGAGCUGGGUUCAGAACGUCGCGAGACAGUUCGGUCCCUAUCUGUCGUGGGCGCAGGAUAUUUGAGGAGCUCUGUCCUUAGUACGAGAGGACCGGGAUGGACGUACCUCUGGUGCACCAGUUGUCAUGCCAAUGGCACGGCUGGGCAGCUAUGUACGGAACGGAUAAACGCUGAAAGCAUCUAAGCGUGAAGCCGACUCCAAGAUUAGAUAUCCCAUCGUAUAACGAGUAAGACCCCUUGAAGACUACGAGGUUGAUAGGCUGCGUGUGUAAGUGCCGUGAGGCAUUCAGCUUGGCAGUACUAAUAGGUCGAGGGCUUGACCAC
Molecule: ribosomal RNA, 1749 nt
Filed under: human gut metagenome
Description: bacterial LSU rRNA
Rfam family: Bacterial large subunit ribosomal RNA
Source: RNAcentral